CACAUCUGAGCUCAGCUUUUAUUGUCUGUGCCAGCUCCUACCAUAGUCUCAUUUUUGCGGGAUUACUUUUAGAAAAAGGACACUGGUGGGUAUAAUAAAGGGCAAAAUUUGGCUUUGUAUAGGUGGACCUCUAUAUGGCCAUGAGAACAAUAGCAUCUCUAUUUAUAUGGCUCUAUCUAUAUGAAGUGCAGCCAUGAUUUGGGAUUCUCUUUCUGUUGUUACUUUCAGAACUCCUGGUCUGAAGGGUGCAACAGUGCUUCUCCUAGGAGCCGGAGCCGCGGGGAAGAUGAGGCGUAGAGCAGCCGCUUCCCCGAACGUCGGUACUGCUUUCGGUAACGCCCUGAGCCUCAGGAGGAAGACUUGCACUUUCCCACUCAGUUAUAAUCAGUUAAAAUUAAAAUACAGAGUAUGACACCAGUGUACAGACAGACCAAACUACCAUAAUGCAUAAUAAUAGAAGUGGAAUUAACAGAUAUUUAAAAAGAAGCAACAUUUCUACGAAAAGGUACUCAUUUAUUACCAUUCAAUGUGGAACAAAAAUGUGAUCUAAAAUACAUAAUGCUUUUAUAAAAUAUGUGCCUUAUAACAACAUGCUGCCAGAUUUUAGUCAGCUCAUUAAAAUGAAGGAUCCACUUGACCUCUUCUAUAAUUGUGUAAAUGAACCAGAAAUCUGAUUAGUCCAAUAAAUUCACGGGUUGUUCCA
RNAcentral lists this long non-coding RNA (703 nucleotides) under Struthio camelus australis. RNAcentral describes it as "lncRNA (ENSSCUG00000017924.1)". Lineage: Eukaryota; Metazoa; Chordata; Aves; Struthioniformes; Struthionidae. The record is from RNAcentral.